UUACCAUUAUCUCAUCUGUAACUGAAACCAUAUUCAUUUGUCUUCCCAGGACAGGCCACUGAAGGAAGAAAAAGUAAAACAUUUUAUUUGUGAGUAAUACCAAGCUUGUUCAGUGUCUGCCAAGAUUUCACCAAGAAAGGAAUUACCAACAGUCAUCACAGUUAAAGAUGGACAAAGGCUGGAUUUGUCUGUGGUUUCGAGAUCUUCCAGAGAAAUGCGGCUAAGAACCAUUAAGUUCUACUUCAGUAUGAGGAGAAAUUGAUUGGGAUGAAAUCAGGCUUGAUAUUGCCAGACAUGUAAUAGAAUAAGCUCCAGGAAACCAUCCUUCUAGUGGGAAGGUGACAGAUGAAAAAGAAAAUAAAAA
This 364-nucleotide long non-coding RNA is filed under the name Coturnix japonica (Japanese quail). Its description in RNAcentral is "lncRNA (ENSCJPG00005011789.1)". The record is from RNAcentral. Lineage: Eukaryota; Metazoa; Chordata; Aves; Galliformes; Phasianidae.